This 505-nucleotide ribosomal RNA is filed under the name uncultured bacterium. RNAcentral describes it as "partial 16S ribosomal RNA". It matches the Rfam family "Bacterial small subunit ribosomal RNA", at positions 28 to 507 of the family's 1533-position model. The record is from RNAcentral.
GACGAACGCUGGCGGCGUGCCUAAUACAUGCAAGUAGAACGCACAGUUUAUACCGUAGCUUGCUACACCAUAGACUGUGAGUUGCGAACGGGUGAGUAACGCGUAGGUAACCUGCCUGGUAGCGGGGGAUAACUAUUGGAAACGAUAGCUAAUACCGCAUAAUAUUAAUUAUUGCAUGAUAAUUAAUUGAAAGGUGCAAUUGCACCACUACCAGAUGGACCUGCGUUGUAUUAGCUAGUAGGUGAGGUAACGGCUCACCUAGGCGACGAUACAUAGCCGACCUGGGGGGGUGAUCGGCCACACUGGGACUGAGACACGGCCCAGACUCCUACGGGAGGCAGCAGUAGGGAAUCUUCGGCAAUGGACGAAAGUCUGACCGAGCAACGCCGCGUGAGUGAAGAAGGUUUUCGGAUCGUAAAGCUCUGUUGUAAGAGAAGAACGGGUGUGAGAGUGGAAAGUUCACACUGUGACGGUAUCUUACCAGAAAGGGACGGCUAACUACGUG